GACGAACGCUGGCGGCGUGCCUAAUACAUGCAAGUGGGACGCAAGGAAACACACUGUGCUUGCACACCGUGUUUUCUUGAGUCGCGAACGGGUGAGUAACGCGUAGGUAACCUGCCUAUUAGCGGGGGAUAACUAUUGGAAACGAUAGCUAAUACCGCAUAAUAUUAAUUAUUGCAUGAUAAUUGAUUGAAAGAUGCAAGCGCAUCACUAGUAGAUGGACCUGCGUUGUAUUAGCUAGUUGGUAAGGUAAGAGCUUACCAAGGCGACGAUACAUAGCCGACCUGAGAGGGUGAUCGGCCACACUGGGACUGAGACACGGCCCAGACUCCUACGGGAGGCAGCAGUAGGGAAUCUUCGGCAAUGGACGAAAGUCUGACCGAGCAACGCCGCGUGAGUGAAGAAGGUUUUCGGAUCGUAAAGCUCUGUUGUAAGUCAAGAACGUGUGUGAGAGUGGAAAGUUCACACAGUGGCGGUAGCUUACCAGAAAGGGACGGCUAACUACGUG
RNAcentral lists this ribosomal RNA (505 nucleotides) under uncultured bacterium. RNAcentral describes it as "partial 16S ribosomal RNA". It matches the Rfam family "Bacterial small subunit ribosomal RNA", at positions 28 to 507 of the family's 1533-position model. The record is from RNAcentral.